RNAcentral lists this ribosomal RNA (250 nucleotides) under uncultured bacterium. RNAcentral's name for it is "partial 16S ribosomal RNA". It matches the Rfam family "Bacterial small subunit ribosomal RNA", at positions 524 to 773 of the family's 1533-position model. The record is from RNAcentral.
UACGGAGGUGGCAAGCGUUGUUCGGAAUUACUGGGCGUAAAGGGCGCGUAGGCGGCUUAACAAGUCAGAUGUGAAAGCCCCGGGCUCAACCUGGGAAUUGCAUCUGAAACUGUAUAGCUUGAGUCCUGGAGGGGAUGGUGGAAUUCCCAGUGUAGCGGUGAAAUGCGUAGAUAUUGGGAGGAACACCUGCGGCGAAGGCGGCCAUCUGGACAGUGACUGACGCUGAGGCGCGAAAGCUAGGGGAGCGAAC